GCAAACUUGGUCAUUUAGAGGAAGUAAAAGUCGUAACAAGGUUUCCGUAGGUGAACCUGCGGAAGGAUCAUUAAAGAUUCUGGGCCCUUACCUGCCCAUUCUAUUCAGCUGUGCGCUUCGGCUGCACGCUGGAUGCAACACCUCACACCUGUGCACCAUUUCGGUUGCGGCUUUGGCCGCUGCCGCUUCAAAUGCAACCACUCAGUCUCGAAUGUCAACAAAACUAUAAAAAGUAACAACUUUCAACAACGGAUCUCUUGGCUCUCGCAUCGAUGAAGAACGCAGC
This 286-nucleotide unclassified non-coding RNA is filed under the name uncultured fungus. Its description in RNAcentral is "partial contains small subunit ribosomal RNA, internal transcribed spacer 1, and 5.8S ribosomal RNA". The stretch from base 1 to 73 matches the Rfam family "Eukaryotic small subunit ribosomal RNA", at positions 1759 to 1831 of the family's 1831-position model. The record is from RNAcentral. Lineage: Eukaryota; Fungi.